CAAUAGCGUAUAUUAAAGUUGUUGCAGUUAAAAAGCUCGUAGUUGGAUUUCUGAUUGAGACAUCAGGUCGGGUCCGAGAGGAUCAUGUACUUUGAUUUGUUUUGAUCAUCCUUGGGGAGAGCAGUUCUGGCAUUAAGUUGUCGGGGUUGGGAUCCUCAUCGUUUACUGUGAAAAAAUUAGAGUGUUCAAAGCAGGCCUCGGCCUCUGAAUACAUUAGCAUGGAAUAAUAAGAUAGGACUUUGGUGGUCUAUUUUGUUGGUUUGCACGCCAAAGUAAUGAUUAAUAGGGAUAGUUGGGGGUAUUCGUAUUCAAUUGUCAGAGGUGAAAUUCUUGGAUUUAUGGAAGACGAACUACUGCGAAAGCAUUUACCAAGGAUGUUUUCAUUGA
RNAcentral lists this ribosomal RNA (387 nucleotides) under uncultured eukaryote. RNAcentral's name for it is "partial 18S ribosomal RNA". It matches the Rfam family "Eukaryotic small subunit ribosomal RNA", at positions 592 to 976 of the family's 1831-position model. The record is from RNAcentral.